UUGCUGUAAUGAGACACUCUCAGAUACAUGAAGUUCAGUUUAAUUGUCACUUGAGCACUGCUAAACGAGACAGGAGUCUUAAUAUGUCUAAUUCUGGAUCAAAAAGGGUAUUACUCAUCACUAAUAAUGUGGUAUUGAAAGUGUUAAUUUGGAUUUGGUUGAGGACUUCAUUCAGUUAGAAAUGAAAGCUGUGUCUAUAACUUGUUGCUUCUUUGGUUGGGAGGGGCCCAUGACAGAUAUCUGAACUUCUGUCUCAGUUUUGACUGUUUUUGCUGAUCUGUAAAGUCCCUCAAAUUAUAUAAUGACUCUUUUAACAAAAUAUUCCUCAUUUCAAGGGUCUGCAAAAUAUUUCUGCACAUGGUUUCUGUGUAGACAAAAAAGUAAGACUGACAGUGUUGCAGAGCGCGUCAGGAUGAGUGGCGUGUGAUUACAGUUUUGCCUGUGAAUGUAGUUUCUAAUUCUGGCAGUAGCAGCAGCAGCAGCUUCUCCGUGGUGGUCUCUCAUCUUAUUACGGUGCCUAAGGAAUUAUUACCUCUAAAUUAAUUGGGAGAGCUGAACAAUGCACUUCAGAGCAGACUGCUCUUGUGUCAUCCAUUAUGUAUGGGUCCUCUGACGGCUUUGAAGUGAUCAUCACACACUGCCGUAUUCUUCUCCUCGAGUUUUGUAAAGUCUCUAUUAUGGCCCGUGGCUGCGUCUCUGUCUCCGACACAUCAAGGUGAGCGGAGAGAGCGCUCUCCCCUUCAGCCGCAGCUAUUACAAUGUACGGACCUAAUUCAAUUUAAAACCACCACUAACAGAACAAGUUGAAGUUACUGAGAUUUAAUCACAGUCUGCUGCGCUGACAGCCCUGGCUGAACGCAACCAAUUAAUAGCAAGUAGAAUUAAUGGAUUAAUGGAGGGCUGAAAGAGCAAAAUGCUAAUUCCUGCCUGUUUCCCCUCAGUCUCAAACCUGCAUUUACAGCUUUUCAUUGUAAACCUCUGAAUGAGAAUGUAUUUGAGAUUUAGGUAUAAGCUUUUUAGUGUGCAUUAAAGCAUUUAGGCACGUAAAUCCCUAAGUAGAUGUAAUAAUUAACCCAGCAAUCCACAUUUAAAGCCCCCUACUGCAGUAAGGGACAAACAAAUAUAGUGGUGUUGUGAAAUCUUGUUUUUAACUGCAUAGUAACUAUUGGCACCAUGAUAUUUUAGUGGCCAAUGAAGCACAAUUUAAUAAGGCAAUGAGUGAAAGCCCAUAGAGAGUUUUAUCUGCUUGAUUUUCCCUUUAAAUUAGUUCGUAUUCCCCUUUUCCUCAUUUACUUGCUAUAUUACAACCAAAAAGAACAUCUAAUCUGGUUUACCACCUUUGACAGCUUCCCCAAAAGACCUAAAUCAAACUGUGACACUGAAGAUUGUCAAUUUAAAACCUUGCUUUUUGAGCCUCUGCGGGGAAAAGUACUUGCACACUCAGUGUUUCUCAUGCAGAUCUAUCCGAGGGAAUAUUGAGCUGUUAGCUGAUUCAUCACACCCCUGUCAAAUAACCUCUUACUUUAAGCAUCUCCUUCUUUAGUGUCUGUUUUGCAUUGCACGGUGGGAAACAAACAUCCCCCAACAUGAAACCCCGAAACAGAACAAUUUUAUUAUGCAGACUUGGUUGAAUUAUUAAUAAUUGGACUUGUUCCUCUCCAGCAUCAGCACACUUUGUAUUCAAAAACUUCUCAAAAUUACAUUUUGAUAUGGUCCAUGCAACACUGCUGCAACAGAGAAGAUCUCAGCAUGUGCACUGAGUUGCACCAUGUCUCACGCUUUUCACACCCUAGAUUUCCCCGGACAAAGUCUUUCGAAGAGGACACAGUACACCAGCCUUCCUGAACCUGUUUAUUAUCUCUGUGAAGCGACCUUGAUCUGUUGAUCUUUAUCUCAAGUCAUUCACAAAGCUCAAAAGGCCCAUUGAGUCAUGCCAGUCAUUUCAAUAUCGCAGUUCUCUUGUGGUCUACGCUGAGUUUUGGGACAAGCCCACAUAAUUGGAUUUUCUAACCUCAGUCUGUGGACACUGCCAGAGAGGUUUUGGGAAAUUAAAAUCUUCCUUGUGCACUGAAUCAAUAUAAAAAAAAAAACAAUCCCCACACACUCUUAAAAUGUGCUAGACAUGCACAGAAAAGCAAUUAACCCACUGCAGGAAUUGAUUUGGUCCACUUCAGCUUAUCUCUCUUGGCAUGGCCAGGCUGUUACAUUCCCGCUGGGAAGAUCAAAAGUUUUUUUUUUUUCUUGUUUCAAAACCUGACAACACAACGGGAUUAGCACUGAUUUUAUCUUCACCAAGCAAUUACCUGCUAUGGUAAUCAAUGCAGGACUGCGGUCUUUAAUAGUCUGUGGCAUUGCCUCCUUUGCAGGAUGUGCAAAUUACUGUGAUUCAUCACAGAACCAGGCUGCUCAGCCAGCGAUGCUAAGUAAUCAAUUAGCAUUAACUGUACCCACAGAAACACACACACACACACACGCACACACCUUCAUGUUGCUUUUCGCUACUAUUCUGGAUGCUUAAGUAGCUCUUUUUUUCCUGAUGGAGAGGUUAUUGGGAGUUCUCAUUAAAGAAAAAUCAGCCUAAAGCUAGAAAUGAAUAAGCUGUAAGACACAAGUUUCACAAGUUCUCUCUCAAAUGGCAGACUACCAGACCCAAAAACUCAAGCUGCCAACAGCAGUAAGACAUAGUGUUGAAGCUGCCACGUCCAAGACUCCAAGAAAUAAAUUAACAACUUCUAAAUUUGGCAUCAAAAUGUCAGUGUCUACAUCAGCCAUGUUCCCACAGCAGCAGUUUUCCUUUGACAUCACACUCUCUGUAGGAAAUUCAAACAAGCCUAUAUGUCUCUUCGUUGUGUUUAAGAUGUGAUUAAAAUUCAGGGUAAGCCUGUUAGGCAAACAAUGGUCAUAUCAUUGCUUCCUGGUUGAUCAACUUAAGUGAAUGAAGUGUGAAAAUCAAGAUGAAAUCGGUCCAUUUCUCUAGUUAAGACAACAUAUACCACAUCCAGUUCAAGUGUCAGCUUCUUCAGCUAAUAUCAGCCUUUGGUGUAAAGUGGCUGUAAACUGAUUAUUUCAUCUAGAAGUUUGCUAUACAACAGAAAAAAGCAUAAAUAAUGGGAAUCUGGAGUACCUGGGAAUAUACCUCAUAGCCUUAAGUUUUCCAAAAAGAAACCUAUCAACAAGAAGGUUUUAGCCUUGGAUCAUUAAACCAGUUCACGAUUAUUUUCAAUUCAGAUCAGCAAAUCCACAGACCAAUGAACAGGUUCCUACAGCAGGCGAUCGCCUUGGUGAAGAAAGCUGAUCAUUAUCCUCAUCUAGGCAUCCUGUAAGAGGAAAACUACAGUUAAAACUCCUGAUUGGUCUCUCCAUACUCAUAGGCUCUCUUACUUGCUUUGACCUGAGGCUCAUGAGAAGUAUUUUCUCAGUUGGUGGGCAUGUACAGUCACAGCAAUAUCCCCGAAUUUAAUUGGCUCCAGUUACACAGUCCUUCCCUUUAAUGACUGGACCAUGAUGAGAGUCACAAUGACUACAUCCCCAUUUAUUUGUAAGGACAGAGGCCUGUAUACAUUUACAUUUUCACACAAUAAAAAUUUGAAUUAUUUAUUGUUCUUCAAAGAGUGAAGAAAGGUGAAAAACAACCCUGAUCCAGGGCUUUGAGGCAAAGAUAAAUGAGGUUAACUUUGGUACAAGUGUUGUACUCCUGCAGGCUGCUGUUAAACACAGCGAUUGCUGUGUUUAACAGCAGGAGCUGAACGCUCACUGAUAUGAAUAUAAGUGAGCACAACUACACCAAGGACGCUUGCUAUCAGGAUGCACUUAUUUUCUAACACAUAAAUAGAAAUGAUGGAUUAUAAGAGUCCUGAGGUGAGAAUGAGCUGCUAAUAUGUUUGUGAUUUGUUAGAUAAUCUUAGACCGUAUUUCCCUACGUUCAUUAACAGGCAGGACUCGAAAUAAUAAAUGACUAUUUAAAAAACAAGUGGAGGUAACUGAGGCGUGAACUCGCUACAGAGCAAAAUAGACUGGAAAUGUAGGAGGACAAAUGUCUUUGUGAGGCUGGAGUAUUAGAAAAGACCUCUGAGUUAUUAGGUGGGGUUGGAGGUUAGAGAAACAGCCUCAGAGAAACUGAUUACAUCCAGGACAAGGGCUUCUGCUCCAAUGAGCUGCAAUGAACACAUCUGGCCAUUCCACCCUGUUCAAAUUUGCCCUAAAUCUUUUAUGCACGUGCACCAGCUCAUGGAGAAAAAAUCAAUGGCAAUUCCCACCUGUUCCUGUCUCCUGGCGACCCACGCCAGCCCUCGCCAGUGUAGCAUCUCACAUCCAGGGGUUUUUUAGACAAGCACACAGCAGCUGAGCAGUGCUGAGCAGGAAGGAGUGGAGACAGGAAGAGUCAAAACAGGAAAAGAUCUGUAUGUUUCUUUAUCUGACAGCCUAAAAAACUUUCAGGGGAAAUAGGAGGAGAGUUCAGAGAGCUGUGGGGCUCUUCCUCUUCUGGUGUCACAACAUUAGCUGUACUGGAUUGUUCAUGUGUCAAAGAUUACAAGUAACUCUUAGUUAGGGUUCACUUAAAAUUCACAGGAAACAGUGAUUUAUUUAGAUCAGUUUGAUGUUUAAUAUCAAACUUAUUAGCUUCAGUAUUUAUUCCUCACAAGGACUGCAGAAUUUAUAAGGAGGCAUUAACAUUCAGCCUGAAUGCUGAAAAAAGGAGAAAAAAAAAACAAAGUUAUGAAGAACUGAGGGGUUUAUGUAGUAAGAUUAAAAAGACAAAUUGGGUCUGCUUAAGUCUGAGUUUUCAGUGUCUCAAAGCCAACUCUCUUUUAACAAGUUUCAGCUUUAAAUAGACUGAAAAGUGCCACCCUUUUAGUCAUUAUUAAAUAAAAGUUUUAUCUUAUGGUUUGAAUCUGCUAAAAUAGCUAAAACAUUUGAAGUUGUCAGUAAUUUAAUGUGACUUCUAUUGAACCAAAUGUUACAUGUUUUGUAUUACUCAUGAAGUGCACUAAACACAGUUUUUGCCGGCUGCUAAAAACAUGUGCAUCAUUGUCUGAAGUUUAGAGUUUCACAGAUGACAAAAUAAUAUUCAGUUGGGAAAUACAAGUAUUAAAUUGCGAGAUAAUACAAUAACUUCCCAAAGGCUUUGUUUUGUGUACAACUUCUAGUUUUUACUUUUUUCCCUGCUUGUGCUGCAUGAUGUUUUGCCACUUGGUCUGUCCUGCUGGGAGGUGAUACUUGUAAUCUGUGCACCACCCAGUCACUAACCUUACCUCAAAGUAAUUUAAGUGAACAGAUGUCUGACACAACCAGUGGAGUACUGAACGAUGGACCUACAAGGCCAGAGCAAGGGCAGGCAGAGUUUCUUGUCGAGUGUAGGUGAACUAAAAAAGCAAAGAAUCCAAAGGGGAUGGCCAAAGGCAAGGUAAAAAAACAGGCAGUGGUCAAACACAGGAAAGACUCUGGAGUCAGGAAUGCUGGAACACACAAAAAACCGGCAAGGAGAGAGAAGACACCACACUGACAAACAGGAAAAGAAGAAAUAGUAAGUCCUAGGCUGACACACAAGUCAGGGUACACCAGGAGCAAGACUUUAAAACUACAGAGACAAAAAUUUAACAUGACAGCAUUAAAUAUAACAAACCAAAAGUACGACCCCUGUAACCCCUGUUCAAGUGUCAUUUUCUUUUUUCUUUAUUUUGUAAAGUAGCACCAUAUCCAUGUGAACAUGUGACCUUUUUCUCCUUUAGAUACACGUCAUAAAACAUCCCUCAUGUUAAAAGGUGCUGGUAAAUACCAACGAUGAUUUACCAAAGUGGAUUGAAGUUGGCUAUAUCUCAUGACUUUAGUGUCAUGAGGGUUAAAGAUGGGGAUUCACAGGGAGCAGAGUAAAGUACUGGAAAAACAUAGCAGGUUAGUUAAUACCUGAGGCCGAGUUGUGUUGCCAAAGUCGAAUUCAAGUUAUUUAUUUGUCAAACAGCCCAGAAAUUUGGUUGUAUGAUGUCCUGACAUGGCUGGCACAGGAGAGUGGCUUCAAAUGACUGGUUUGGAGUAAUGCACAUUACCAGAGCCAGUACACACUGAUUUCAUGUGUUUUAGUUUUCUUCAUAUCAUAUUAAACAUUAAACUUCACAGUCCCAUCCCUCCAAUCAGCAGAAGUUAAAGUACGUUUCUGGAAGUUAUUUUCUCCUUCAACACUUAAUCUGAGUUUUCCAUUCCUGAUCCUGAUUCAUUCCAGCAAUAUUAUGAAAAAUUAUUAAAACUAAGAUGUUGUUUCAUUGAUCAACCGAAACAAACCCAUACUGUCUUUUGAUCACGACCAACAAAUACUGAAAAAUAAGCACAUUUCCUGUCUAAAUUAUUUAGACCCUAUCCUUUAAUUCAGAUGUGAGGUGGUGUUAUCUCCUCACAUCUCCACACUUUCUUCUCAUUUGAUGCCUUCCAUGCCCUCAGACGUGAUGAAACUGUCUCCUCACUCUUUCUGGUGUGGGUGGAUUACAUCAGUAUUCUCCGUCCUCCUUUCCACAGCAGACAUGAGCUGACAUACAGACAGAUCUGUUUUAUUCUGAGUCCUGCACAACACAACAGGGAACAGAGUCUGGACCACAUCCUCCGUGCUAUAUGGUAAUCCGAGCAGAUUGUUGGAUAAACACAACCCAGACUAAAUCCAUAGCUCAACAUUUUCUUUGGUUCAAGCCCCGAGGGUGAGGGAUCAGCUGUGCAUUCAUCAGCAGCCCAAUUUGCUUCUUUAUGAGGCGGACGCUACUGAUAAGAGGCACUCAGGAUGCCCACUGGUUGUAUAGAAACACAUGAAUUUAUGUAAGAGCUGCUUUGUUAUAAUUGAGGUGCUGUUAGCCUCCAAACAUCUCUGGCUCUCAUGGUUAGACACAAAAUGAGUCUCUCGGCUGCUGUUAAAGAGGAAACUGUGUUAUUAUGAUUUGGUAAAUAUAUCAGGGGACGGUACCUUCAGUUCAUGGAAAACAAAGAUUCAAGAUUGGAUUAAUCAGAUUAAUGGUGCAGCAACACCAACCCACGCAUAGAUUGAACGGAAACACAGAUACCAGUGGUGGAAGAAGUUUACCCUUAGUCUAACACGUGCCUUACAUAUACAGAUUUACUGCAGUGAAAUAACCAACAAAGAGCAACAUAGUACAGGAUUAUCACUAUACAGAGACAAACUGCUGUUCUGCCUCUGUAAACCAUGCCAUAUAAUCAAUAAAGCAAAUAGGUUUGAUCAAUGUUCUGCAGAAAACAGUAGUCUAGCUUGCGUGCAGUUUCUCAUCAACUGGGCAAAGCUGACUGACAUUCAUUUGGUGCUCAACCAACAAGAGGUCUCGUUUGAGUAUGUAACAGUACUAUAUGGUGAUAGUUUUUGUUUUUAUUGCCAAAAAAUGAGAAAUACCCAAAAAACAUCCUGUUACAUUCUACUUUUUUGGUACCCUUCUGUCAGGGUACCAAGUGUGCCAAUUUGACCCUGAACUGCCAUGAUUGAGAGGGAGGAAGAGGAAGAAGCGCUCAUAGUGACUUAAACCUCUCCUAACCUGAUUUUCUUUCAUCCAUGAACUUACGUUUCUCAGGGAAUCAUGAGUCUGUUUUGUGGACCCUUUUAUUCAUAUCAGGAAAUGCUUUCAGCUGUAAAAAAAACUGUCAGGGGUUCAUUAAAAACGGUUGCUUAAUUCCCACACAGUCAUCAGCGGAGCAGUGAGAGGGGCACAGCGAUGGUGGCAGUCAAAAGACAAAAUAUUUCCUGUUAACAGGAUGUGAUUAAAUAAUUAAUAUGGUUUAUCUACAGCCAGCAUGAUUAAUGACAACUUCUCUCCCAGUGAGAGUUCACGCUGAGCUCAGAUAAA
Xyrichtys novacula (pearly razorfish) is the source of this 7829-nucleotide non-coding RNA. The record is from the annotation of a GenBank genome assembly. Lineage: Eukaryota; Metazoa; Chordata; Actinopteri; Labriformes; Labridae.